GAGGUCUCAAGCGUUGUUCGGAUUCAUUGGGCGUAAAGGGCGCGUAGGCGGCGCGGUAAGUCGGGUGUGAAAUCUCGGAGCUUAACUCCGAAACUGCAUUCGAUACUGCCGUGCUUGAGGACUGGAGAGGAGACUGGAAUUUACGGUGUAGCGGUGAAAUGCGUAGAUAUCGUAAGGAAGACCAGUGGCGAAGGCGGGUCUCUGGACAGUUCCUGACGCUGAGGCACGAAGGUCAGGGGAGCAAACGGGAUUAGAUACCCCGGUAGUCCUGACAGUAAACGGUGCACGUUUGGUGUGGGAGGAUUCGACCCCUUCUGCGCCGGAGCUAACGCGUUAGACGUGCCCGCUGGGGAGUACGGGCGCAAGAUUAAAACUCAAAGAAAUUGACCGGGGCCCCGACAAGCGGUGGAGUAUGUGGCUUAAUUCGAUGCAACGCGAAGAACCUUACCAGGCCUUGACAUGCAUUUCUAAGUUGGUGAAAGCCAGCGAGUCCCGAAAGGGACAACUUGCACAGGUGCUGCAUGGCUGUCGUCAGCUCGUGUCGUGAGAUGUUGGGUUAAGUCCCGCAACGAGCGCAACCCCUGUGAACUGUUGCCACGGAACCGAGAGGUUCCAGCACUCUGUUCAGACUGCCCCGCUUUAACGGGGAGGAAGGUGGGGACGACGUCAAGUCAGUAUGGCCCUUACGGCCUUGGCUGCACACGUACUACAAUGCCCAGCACAGAACGAUCCGAGACCGCAAGGUGGAGGAAAUCUCUAAAACUGG
RNAcentral lists this ribosomal RNA (766 nucleotides) under uncultured Spartobacteria bacterium. RNAcentral's name for it is "bacterial SSU rRNA". It matches the Rfam family "Bacterial small subunit ribosomal RNA", at positions 528 to 1285 of the family's 1533-position model. Lineage: Bacteria; Pseudomonadati; Verrucomicrobiota; Spartobacteria. The record is from RNAcentral.